AUGCACGCUGGCGGCGUGCCUCAUACAUGCCAGUCGCGCGAACAGACGAGGAGCUUGCUCCUCUGACGUUAGCGGCGGACGGGUGAGUAACACGUGGAUAACCUACCUAUAAGACUGGGAUAACUUCGGGAAACCGGAGCUAAUACCGGAUAAUAUAUUGAACCGCAUGGUUCAAUAGUGAAAGACGGUUUUGCUGUCACUUAUAGAUGGAUCCGCGCCGCAUUAGCUAGUUGGUAAGGUAACGGCUUACCAAGGCAACGAUGCGUAGCCGACCUGAGAGGGUGAUCGGCCACACUGGAACUGAGACACGGUCCAGACUCCUACGGGAGGCAGCAGUAGGGAAUCUUCCGCAAUGGGCGAAAGCCUGACGGAGCAACGCCGCGUGAGUGAUGAAGGUCUUCGGAUCGUAAAACUCUGUUAUUAGGGAAGAACAAGUGUGUAAGUAACUAUGCACGUCUUGACGGUACCUAAUCAGAAAGCCACGGCUAACUACGUG
This 496-nucleotide ribosomal RNA is filed under the name uncultured bacterium. RNAcentral describes it as "partial 16S ribosomal RNA". It matches the Rfam family "Bacterial small subunit ribosomal RNA", at positions 29 to 507 of the family's 1533-position model. The record is from RNAcentral.